Molecule: long non-coding RNA, 686 nt
Organism: Cyprinus carpio carpio
Lineage: Eukaryota; Metazoa; Chordata; Actinopteri; Cypriniformes; Cyprinidae
Source: Ensembl
CGCCCCUUUCAUGUGCUUUUUCCCAUUGUCUAUAUAUCAUUAGGACUGAUAUGUGUUUUGAGUUUCAUGUAAUUCUGAGCAUUUUAUCUGCCUCAAAAUCACUAGAACAGAAUAUUCAAGAUUGACACGUUGCCACGGCAACACUAUAUUAGAUAUCAAUAUCCCCACAACAGAUUUACAUCUGCCGUGUUUUUGUCAUUAUUCUGAUGAAGUUUGAAGCAAAUCGAGUAAAAAUAAGAUGCUGAAUUCAAAGAAUUUUUGAAAAUGACACACUUCCUGCUGCCAGCUGGUGGCGCUAUAACUUUGACUCCUAAUAGUCACAUCUAUGCGAUCGGCAUCAUACAUCAAACAAUCCGAUGAAGUUUGAUCUAAAUCAGAAAAUGUAUGUGGAUGUUAUUAGACAUUUCCUGUUUCUCAUUUUUUUGCCCUAAAUUCAACGCCUCGCAACGGACAAACCGUUCGAGAUAUCAAAAAUAUCUUCGCAAUUUAGCAUCCCCAAUGUCUUGAGAUCAUGUUCACCGAGUUUUGUGGCAAACGGGUGGAGUUCCUCAGAGGAGUAUAUCAAAUUCCAGAGCAUGUGUUUUUCACAAAACCCUAAAUAGCCAACUUCCUGUUGGGCGGAGCUUAUGACAUGCAGUGCGAAAGUUGUUUGGUUUGAUGAGAUCUACAUGUGUACUGAGUUUCAU